Molecule: ribosomal RNA, 903 nt
Filed under: Bjerkandera sp. CB2
Lineage: Eukaryota; Fungi; Basidiomycota; Agaricomycetes; Polyporales; Phanerochaetaceae
Description: eukaryotic LSU rRNA
Rfam family: Eukaryotic large subunit ribosomal RNA (bases 580-903)
Source: RNAcentral
AACAAGGUUUCCGUAGGUGAACCUGCGGAAGGAUCAUUAUCGAGUUUUGAACGGGUUGUCUGCUGGCUCGCAAGGGCAUGUGCACGCCUGUCUCAUCCACUCUCAACUUCUGUGCACUUUUCAUAGGCCGGCUUGUGGGUGCGUUCGCGCACUUGUAGGUGUCGGGCUUAUGCUUUAUUACAAACGAUUCAGUUUUAGAAUGUCAUACUUUGCUAUAACGCAAUUUAUAUACAACUUUCAGCAACGGAUCUCUUGGCUCUCGCAUCGAUGAAGAACGCAGCGAAAUGGCGAUAAGUAAUGUGAAUUGCAGAAUUCAGUGAAUCAUCGAAUCUUUGAACGCACCUUGCGCUCCUUGGUAUUCCGAGGAGCAUGCCUGUUUGAGUCUCAUGGAAUUCUCAACCUUCAGCUUUAUUGAUGAAGGCUUGGACUUGGAGGUCGUGCCGGCUCUCGUAGUCGGCUCCUCUGAAAUGCAUUAGUGCGAACGUUACCAGCCGCUUCAGCGUGAUAAUUAUCUGCGUUGCUGUGGAGGGUAUUCUAGUGUUCACGCUUCUAACCGUCUUCGGACAAAUUUCUGAACUCUGAGCUCAAAUCAGGUAGGACUACCCGCUGAACUUAAGCAUAUCAAUAAGCGGAGGAAAAGAAACUAACAAGGAUUCCCCUAGUAACUGCGAGUGAAGCGGGAAAAGCUCAAAUUUAAAAUCUGGCGGUCUUCGGCCGUCCGAGUUGUAAUCUGGAGAAGCGUUUUCCGCGCUGGACCGUGUACAAGUCUCUUGGAACAGAGCGUCAUAGAGGGUGAGAAUCCCGUCUUUGACACGGACUACCAGUGCUAUGUGAUGCGCUCUCGAUGAGUCGAGUUGUUUGGGAAUGCAGCUCAAAAUGGGUGGUAAAUUCCAUCUAAAGCUA